CCUACGGGUGGCAGCAGUGGGGAAUAUUGGGCAAUGGGCGCAAGCCUGACCCAGCAACGCCGCGUGAAGGAAGAAGGCUUUCGGGUGGUAAACUUCUGUUCUGAGGGACGAAGAAAGUGACGGUACCUCAGGAAUAAGCCACGGCUAACUACGGGCCAGCAGCCGCGGUAAUACGUCGGUGGCAAGCGUUAUCCGGAUUUAUUGGGUGUAAAGGGCGGGUAGGCGGGAAAGAAAGUCAGAUGUGAAAACUCAGGGCUCAACCCUGUGCCUGCAUUUGAAACUGUUUGUCUUGAGUGCUGGAGAGGCAAUCGGAAUUCCGUGUGUAGCGGUGAAAUGCGUAGAUAUACGGAGGAACACCAGUGGCGAAGGCGGCUUGCUGGACAGUAACUGACGCUGAGGCGCGAAAGCGUGGGGAGCAAACAGGAUUAGAUACCCCUGUAGUC
Molecule: ribosomal RNA, 443 nt
Filed under: uncultured bacterium
Lineage: Bacteria
Description: partial 16S ribosomal RNA
Rfam family: Bacterial small subunit ribosomal RNA
Source: RNAcentral